CUCAUUGUGAAGUCAGAGUUACAGGCAAGGGAGCAACAGGGCUGAGGAGAUACCUGUUCUCCCAGUUUCACGGCCAGUACAAGGCCAUUCUUACACUGCUCGGGGGAGCCCCUCAGGAGAAGACACAUUUAAGAGUUUCCAGCAAGAAGAGUCAGGUCAUGCAGUCAGCUGCUUUCUCAGCCCAGCUGUGGGAAUGUAAACAAGUUUCUAACCUCAUUGAAUCUUAGGUUCCCUGUUUGGAAACAGAUGAGAUCCACAACAGCCAUUAUCUUAUUGGAUGGUUGUUGUAUGGCAGGGGCUGUACUGAAGAGUCACACACAUUACUUAGUCUUCCCAACAAUCCUGCAAGAUAUAGAACCUUGACAUGUUUCUCAGGCUGGUCUGAAACUCCUGGGGCUCAAGCGAUCCACCUGCCUCCACCUCUCAAAGUGCUGAGAUUACAGAAAAUGAAAGGAAUUGAAAUUAAGACAAGGGAGAGAUUGAAGAGUGGAAAGGAGAAAGUGGUUGAGGAACAGUGAGAGAAGUUGGAGAAGAAAGUAAGAAGAGGCCGCUUACCUGAUUUAAAAUUGGGAUGAUGCAUCUGAGAGCUCAAUGCAUGUCGGUGAUGAUGAAGGUGAAGAUGCUGUGAGUGAUGAUGAGGAGGAGGAGGAGGAUGUAAUUGAAGGAGCUUGGGCUUUGCCAUCAGUACAGCUGAGUUAAAAUGAGAAAGGGAGCAAAGAAGAAGAAGAAAGGAAAAACUGAAAAAAGAAACAUUGAGGCUCAUGUCUUGUUUUGUUUCUCAAAAGAUUCCAUUAGACUCAAUAUGUCAUUCUAAGUGCACCUGGAUAUAGCGCAGAUUUAGAUAACUGUCUCCUCCCCUUCUGACCUUUAUUACGACUACAAAAAUUCUGUGUGUGAGGGAUAAAUAAUGCAUGCUCUCAGCCAAGAAGGGAAAGAAGACCCAAGGAAAAAUUGCAGAAUAGAAUGGCAAACCAGGAAAACAGAGCUCAGUACAGAAGGGAGUUGGGCAGCCUCUGUUCCUGUUUGGCUCUGUCCUUGAAGAAAGUGAUAAGAAGUGCACAGAUUUUGGAAUUAAACAGACCAUGGUUUGAAGUCUGGAUCUUCCAGUUGUAACCAGGUGGCAUUGGGGCCUAUGGUUCAUCCUGCAAUAUCAGAGAAUACACAACUGUUGGAAGCUCAUUUGUGCAGAAGCACUAGUUAGACCAAGUCCCAGGAUGGUGGGGACUUGAACUGCCUCAUGCACAUUGUACCCAAGAGCCUGGCCCAUGAAGGUGAAUCAGUGGAUACUUGAAUAAAAAGAAGAAUAUGCGCUGAAGUUUUCUUUGAGGACAUUUUUUUUUCUUUCCAUAGUUUUGAGCAUCUCUGAUGUUUUGAGAUUUCUGCCAGUCUUUGAGGAUGUAAUGCUCAAUUAGACUUGUUCUCUGUCCUCAAAGAGCUUAUAUAAUAGUUAGUGAGCUAAUUCUCCUGUUUUGAGAGACAGGAGAAAAUGUUAUGUUAUAAUGAGUCAUUCAGACUCUAUCUACUAGGCCUGACUUUGUUACUUUUUAAAAAGCAUUCUUCCACUCCUGCUUGGAUAUCUCUGUAUACAAGACUCAGAGACACGUAUGACGCCCCUUAGGAGGGGUUCUGACGUGCAAAUUUCUGAGACCCAGAAGCACCUACCUUCCAUUUUCCAAUGCCCCAAAUUCUAUGAAAACCACGAGCACAUGCAUUCGUUCCCAUGUUCUCGGGUGCC
RNAcentral lists this long non-coding RNA (1735 nucleotides) under Homo sapiens (human). RNAcentral's name for it is "HSALNT0389368". Lineage: Eukaryota; Metazoa; Chordata; Mammalia; Primates; Hominidae. The record is from RNAcentral.